GAUUGCCCUAGUACGGCGAGUGAAGCGGCAACAGCUCAAAUUUGAAAUCUGGCUUCGGCCCGAGUUGUAAUUUGUAGAGGAUGCUUUGGGCGCGGCGCCAACUGAGUUCCCUGGAACGGGACGCCACAGAGGGUGAGAGCCCCGUAUAGUUGGAUGCCUAGCCUAUGUAAAGCUCCUUCGACGAGUCGAGUAGUUUGGGAAUGCUGCUCAAAAUGGGAGGUAAAUUUCUUCUAAAGCUAAAUACCGGCCAGAGACCGAUAGCGCACAAGUAGAGUGAUCGAAAGAUGAAAAGCACUUUGAAAAGAGGGUUAAAUAGCACGUGAAAUUGUUGAAAGGGAAGCGCUUGUGACCAGACUUGCGCCGGGCAGAUCAUCCGGUGUUCUCACCGGUGCACUCUGCCCGGCUCAGGCCAGCAUCGGUUCUCGUGGGGGGAUAAAGGUCUCGGGAACGUAGCUCUUCCGGGAGUGUUAUAGCCCGGGGCGUAAUGCCCUCGCGGGGACCGAGGUUCGCGCAUCUGCAAGGAUGCUGGCGUAAUGGUCAUCAGCGACCCGUCUGAAA
RNAcentral lists this ribosomal RNA (558 nucleotides) under Trichocladium heterothallicum. RNAcentral's name for it is "partial large subunit ribosomal RNA". It matches the Rfam family "Eukaryotic large subunit ribosomal RNA", at positions 73 to 658 of the family's 3401-position model. The record is from RNAcentral. Lineage: Eukaryota; Fungi; Ascomycota; Sordariomycetes; Sordariales; Chaetomiaceae.